Molecule: RNA transcript, 722 nt
Organism: Olea europaea var. sylvestris
Lineage: Eukaryota; Viridiplantae; Streptophyta; Magnoliopsida; Lamiales; Oleaceae
Gene name: branched-chain amino acid aminotransferase 1, mitochondrial-like
Exons: 5
Source: RefSeq, a predicted model, not a curated record
UUUCUUUUCUUUUACUUUUUCUUUUUCCGACGCUUCUUUCUUCUUCUCCCUUUUCUAUUUUUCCCACCUCCUCUAUUGCAACUUCCGUCAGCAUAUUACCAUCCCGCCACCUUCAAUCAGCCAUCAGUCAUCAGGCCCACUAGCCUAAUGACCCAAAUCAGCGCUUGAGAAAGCUAAGAGGAGGGUACAACACCUUGAACCUAUAUGCUGAGGAUGAAUUACAUCAUUCUGCACGAGCUGGGGAGGUGGCAAAAGAAUUACAAAUUAUGCUCCGGUUCUGAAAUCGUUAAACAGAGCAAGGAACAGAGGGUUCUCUUAUGCCUUGUACCUUGAUUCGAUGAAUAAGCGAUAUAUUGAAGAGUUCUCUUCUUGUAAUGUCUUCAUUUUGAAGGUUGAAGAAUGUCCUAUUCAAUUUGAAGAAUUACUUGAUGCUGACGAAGUUUUCUGCACAGGUGCAACCUGGAGGACUAUAAGCAGGAUCAAUGAUUGUCAUCUUCGGGUUGGAAGCAAUAGGAUUAGUUGUGUGAUCUUCCACCUGAUAGAAUAGAAGGAUUUGUUGCAUAUCUAAUUCAUGAUGAUGAAUAGUUAUAUUUUUUUAGGUGCAUAAUAAUAGAAAGAGCAUGCUUGCUUUGCUCUUUUAAAUUUAGAUGUAAUGAUACUUUGUAAAUGGUUUUUAUUUUUGUUUUGAUGAAAUAUUUUUAAUUCAAUUUUAUAUUGAUUGA